GUGGGCUACGGCGACAUGUACCCCGUGACCAUAGGGGGCAAGGUCGUGGGGUCGCUCUGUGCCAUCGCCGGGGUGCUGACGAUCGCUCUGCCAGUCCCCGUGAUCGUCUCCAAU
This is a regulatory RNA element of Scleropages formosus (Asian bonytongue), 114 nucleotides long. It matches the Rfam family "Potassium channel RNA editing signal". Rfam says of the family: This family represents a group of sequences related to the human potassium channel Kv1.1 hairpin element which directs the efficient modification of an adenosine to inosine by an adenosine deaminase acting on RNA (ADAR). The record is from Rfam. Lineage: Eukaryota; Metazoa; Chordata; Actinopteri; Osteoglossiformes; Osteoglossidae.